CCUACGGGAGGCAGCAGUGGGGAAUAUUGGACAAUGGGCGCAAGCCUGAUCCAGCAAUACCGCGUGGGUGAUGAAGGUCUUCGGAUUGUAAAGCCCUUUUAGUAGAGAAGAUAAUGACGGUAUCUACAGAAAAAGCACCGGCAAACUUCGUGCCAGCAGCCGCGGUAAUACGAAGGGUGCUAGCGUUGUUCGGAAUCACUGGGCGUAAAGGGUACGUAGGCGGUUUGGUAAGUCGAUUGUGAAAGCCCCAGGCUCAACCUGGGAACUGCAAUCGAAACUACUUUACUUGAGUUUGGUAGGGGAUGGUGGAAUUCCUAGUGUAGGGGUGAAAUCCGUAGAGAUUAGGAAGAACACCAGUGGCGAAGGCGACCAUCUAUGCCAAUACUGACGCUGAGGUACGAAAGCGUGGGGAGCAAACAGGAUUAGAUACCCUGGUAGUCCACGCCCUAAACGAUGAAUGCUAGUUGUCGGGGCCUUAGGCUUCGGCGCGAAGUUAACACGANAGACAUCGUCGUCGGGAGGUACGGUCGCGAGACUAAACUACAAGAAGUAGACGACGUGAGACGNGCGAACGGACGACGACGAGGGAGUUAGG
This 595-nucleotide ribosomal RNA is filed under the name uncultured bacterium. RNAcentral's name for it is "bacterial SSU rRNA". It matches the Rfam family "Bacterial small subunit ribosomal RNA", at positions 338 to 954 of the family's 1533-position model. The record is from RNAcentral.